AUUAUGGUAUAGAAUUUCUCUGAUACUGUAGGGUGGAUCUUAUGUUCAGUUGUAUGGCUGCUGAUUUAAAUGGCUGCUGGAAUGUGGCUCAAAAUCCACCCAGGGAUAGUUGUGGCAAUCAUGAUAAGUGGGAUGCCUUAAUCUAGAAACAGUGUGUGAUGCAGCAUGAAGCAAGUUUCUCGCUACAAAUGUUGCAUAACUUGCUGUUUAUGACUGAUUUCCUGAAAUGCAUGGAAAUUUGAGAGGCCUGUACUUUACUCUUUGCAUUGCAUAUUGAUAUAUAGGCCAUGAAGGUAUACUGCAACCUGUUCACAUAGCUGAGGCAUUUUGACAUACUCCAAGUUUCCAUGCAUUGUAUUCAUGGCUUGUGUCCAGUUCAAGGAAAGUCCUCCUACUGCUGGGGGGAGGGGGGAAGCUGAAGGUAAGGUUGCUGCUGUAUUGUGGUAAUGGGAAAACUGGUGUUGCAGAGCUUCAGAAACAGCACAGAACUACUAAAAAAUGUUACAAGCUGCAAAGAGGCUUGCUAGAACUUCUUUUGCAGUCCUGCUGGUGAGCUGAAAUACACACUGUUGCUGUGUUUGGAAAGCAAAUGUUAAUGUGUUGUCACAAACUAGCAUUCCAGUUCAUUUAAAAACAACAACAAAUAUCUUUCCAAGUACUACUUCUGUUUUAAUGACAGCUCUCUAGAAUUCAGUUGGGUGGCUGGCUUGAGCCACUACUGGGAAUGAAUAAAGAUGUCUUUUAACAGUGUAGUACUCUAUGGAUAAGUUCAGCUGUGCUUUUAAUAGAUGAGUGUUUAUCUGGGAGUUUAGUCUAGGUUAGUGUUGGGUCUUGUGAUGUGCUCUGAGUAUUUGAACAGUACAAACUUUCCGUAGCCACUUCUUUAUUUCUGUCUUCAUAAGAAGGCUGCUGCCUUGUUUUGUGAUGAUCUACUGCUUUAUUAUGGGUCUUGAGCUGAAUUUUGAUUGUUUCAAAAUGCUCUGCUUCUAUUGAAGUAUCCCACACCUUCAGGAAGCAGCUCCCUUUCAUCCAACUUUCAUCCAAAGUGCUUUGUGCAGUGAUCCAUCUUGAUGGGAUUUGUGCAUGUGGUACUUUCCUGGGACAGCCUGGGAGGCAACCAGACAGGGUGCCCCUUCCUUGGAGUCCUUAAUUUGGAUUUCUGCCUGACACUGUGCUCCUCUGGGCUUCAGAAUUGGGCCUUUGAUAGAGCAGAUGACUCCCGUGAGAUGGGCCUGGGUGUGGUUUGGUAUUUGUCUUCUGUGCCACUUUCCCUCAUCUCUGUGCUGGUGUGCAGAUGAGUUGAUAUUGUGUGACUUAACAUAGAAGAAUAACAAAACUAGAUGCUCAUUCCCCUUAUGUCCCCUUAGCUGCCUGUGGGGAAACCCUGUACACCCUUUCAAUAAAGAGGGGGAAAAAUGUGGGGCAGCAGCAGAGAUUCGUGUGACAUUAAGGAGAAUGUGAGAACAAGGAGGAGUUGAUGUCUUUGAAAAAAUUUGUUAAUCUACUGUGCUCAGAGCUUUCUCUGUCACCUUCUCUGGAAACAAGGUUGCUGCCAGGGAUCAUGUUCUAGUGGCAGGAGGGAACUGCAGCGCUGCAGUCAGCAGUGGAAGAUGAGCAUGGCACUGGUUUUUGCAUGACAGUCUUGAGUAUUACUUUCAUGUCUUAUGGGAAAUCACAAGUUUCUUUACAUGUAGGACUUGUACCUGGAGGAAAAAAAAAACAACCUGUUGAUCUCAAGUCCUUAGUGGAAUUUCCUGUUCAUACUAUUGAAUGCCAUACUGUGUUUUCAAGCCUGUGCAUUGUACUUUUAAUAUGUUGACUCCUAGUGCACUGGAAUAUUCUGCUUUGGCUCUGAAUUCUGUGGUCAGGGUUUGGUUUUCUUCUGAAUUAACUCCUCAUCCUGCGUACAAAACUCGUGAGGUGUUUCCAUGAAGCAAAAAGCAGAUCUUUUCUUGCCUCGUUUAUGUUGAAGCAAGGAACUUGCUAAGGGAAUCCAAAUCUCUUGGUCCACGUGCCCAGUGUGUUGUCCUUCUGAUAUUCCAUCUCCUGUUCUGGAAUUUUUAAUAUUCAAACUGAACAUGACAGCUUCACAAAAACACAAUUCACUUCAGCUCUUCCCUCACGUUCCAUGUUGUUUUGUUCAUGUUUGUGAUGCCUCUGCUUUCUUUUUUUAAGAAUAUAUUCACUAAGGGUCAAGAAAAGCAAAAUGAUGAAACGGCAGCUGCUUUUAAAGAGUUAGCUUGCUUUGUUCUGAUAUCUCCCCUGUUGCUCACCAGGUUCUGUGUUGUGGGCAGCUGACUGAUACCAGAAACUUACACAAGACUUGGAUUUGCAUUUGGAGCACUGUAGGCAUGUUUGCAGUGCUACACAGGUGUCAACACUAAGCAGGUGUAUACUUUACUCUCAGACUAGUCCCUGCAGAACUAGUGUUGGUGUGCUUUAUGCUACUUUGAAUUUGGAGUCCUUUGGGGCUUUCUAUAGUUGAUCUUAUCUGUGAUGGUAAAUGGAAAGUUCCACUCAGUCCUGUCUUGUUGCAUUUAGAGUGAUGUGAGGUGGUACGUUUGCAGUGGGCUAUCUUUUUUCUUCAGUUAAGAGUGUUUGGGUAAAGCGAGCAGUAGGGACAUCGUGUUCUGUCCUUAUUUAAAUGCAAGUUUAACUGUUGGGGCUUUCUCUCCUCAUUGUGAAAGCAGUGAUGUGUGCUGCCUCUGCUGUUGUGCAUUAACUUGGAAGUGAAGUUCUUGCAUGUAUAUAAAUAUUCUGGGUUAUUUUGUCUGCAGCUGGCAUAUCUCUAGGAAAGGAGGAGGGAGGUUUUAGUUCUCCUAACAGGAAAGGUUCAAACUGUGGACGAGGUUAGUUAACACAAAGAGCUCAAUGCUGAAGGAAUGAAGAGUGAGACAAGUGUUGUCCUCAGAAUGCCAGGCUGAGGGCAGUGUGUGCAAGCACAGUGCACCUGCACAUGCAGCUGAUGCUGUACCAGGCAACUGGGAGAAGCACUGCAUGUUCUUCACAAGAGAGAAAAUUGGACAAAAAUCUAAUGUGAUGUUAAACUGUUUUCAAGAUGCAUCACUAAAGUCAAUCAGCUUAAGUACAGGGUUGCCACAUAAUACAGUCGAUUUCAGGUUCUGGUACCUUAGAAGUGUUUUCUCCUUCACUCUUUCUGAGUAUCUCUUCACGUUAAUUCCCACCUAGGCUUGUGGGUAACAGCAGUACCUCUGUAAAAUGCUCUUGUCCUGGAAUGACUUGUACACGUGGUUAGCUGCUGCCUCCUCAGUUUGGUUCUAAAUUAUUACUUACUUACCCCUGUUCAGUCUCAAACCAGACUCAAAUUGAUAGCAAUUGGAAACUGUUCAUCUUCUGUUUUGCAAAUGGAGAGGUUAUCCCAUUCUGUGUGUAACAAUCGUAAGUUACGCUUCCAUGCUCGUAUUUCUUGGGGAAUGAUUUCUCAAUUAAUUUAACUAAGCUGUAGGGAUUAGAUUUGUGAGUGCUCCUUGGGACAUGAGAAAUAUCCAGGGGGGAGUGUUCAGCCAUGUGACGUGUGAAAUACCAAAGGGGCAGGCUGGAAGGUUUCUCUCCAGCCAAAUAGUAAACUUCAGAGAAAAAGGGAGCGGGAAUGUAAGCAAACCUGAGCGAGUGAGUGUUGAGCUCUGUGGCUGGCAAUUAAUAAAGCAGAGAGAAUGAAUGAACCGGAGGUCCAAGAUUUCCAUACAUCUGACCUCAGGAAGCUUACACUGAAGAAAGUGAAUGUUUGGCCAGGCACUGGAAGGAGAAGCGGUGGCUCUAAAGCUUCCUUUUCUUGCCCACAUGUCUUUCUCUGUCUCUCCUUGUUCUGCUGGGUAGGCAGUCUUCUGGGGCAUCCUCAGUGUCUGGAUUAUGGGCCACCUUUCCAGCCUCCUUUUCACCUGGAGUUCUGCUCUGCCUAUGAAAACUUUGGCUGCUGUGACCGGGAGAGAGACAAUAGUAUUGCAGCAAAAUACCAUGAGAUCCUGGAUUAUAUUGAUCCUCGGGGGCAUAAGCUGUGUGGAACAUAUAUCAAAGAUAUUCUCUGUCAGGAAUGUUCUCCAUAUGCUGCACAUCUCUAUGAUGCUGAAAACCCAAGGACACCUCUCAGAUACCUUCCAGGACUUUGUUUCGACUAUUGCUCUGAGUUUCAUUUCAAUUGCCGCUCUGCCAUCAGCUUGCUCACUAGUGAUAAGCACAUUCAAGAAUGCUGUGAGACCAAUAAGACUCGCUUCUGCAACCUCCUUCGCCUGCAUGACGAGGACUACUGCUUCCCCAACGUGCUGAGGAACACAGCCCUCAACCGCAACCUGGGCUCAGUGGUGGAGGACCGCAGAGGCUGCCUCCAGCUCUGCCUUACUGAGGUUGCCAAUGGCCUGAGGAACCCGGUCCUCAUGCUGCAUGCCAACGACCGGACCCACCGUAUGUUUGUAGCUGAGCAGGUGGGGGUCAUCUGGGUCUACCUACCUGAUGGCAGCCGGCUGGAGGAGCCAUUUCUGGAUAUUAAAAGUAUCGUGCUGGCAACGCCGUGGAUAGGGGAUGAGAGGGGCUUUCUGGGGAUGGCUUUCCACCCCAACUACAAGAACAACGGGAAAUUUUAUAUCUAUUACUCGUAUAUGGAUAAGAAGCAAGUGGAAAAGAUCAGAAUCAGUGAACUGAAGGUUUUGGCCUCUGAUGCCAACAAAGCAGAUCCACACUCAGAAAGGAAUCUUUUGGAACUUGAAGAACCAGCUGCAAAUCAUAAUGGUGGGCAACUGCUCUUUGGUGUGGAUGGCUAUCUGUAUCUAUUCAUAGGGGAUGGAGGAAAAGCUGGAGACCCUUUUGGGAAAUUUGGGAAUGCUCAGAACAAGAGUGUUUUGCUGGGGAAAGUCUUGAGGAUUGAUGUGGAUGGAAGAAGUCCUGAUGGCAAGCCUUAUCGCAUCCCUCCCGAUAACCCUUUUGUGUCUGAUCUCAAGGCUCGCCCUGAAGUUUAUGCUUAUGGAGUCAGGAAUAUGUGGCGCUGUGCAGUUGACCGGGGGGAUCCUGUCACAAAAAAGGGAAGAGGGAGGAUAUUCUGUGGGGAUGUUGGACAGAACAGGUUUGAAGAAGUCGACAUAAUUGUUAAAGGAGGAAACUAUGGCUGGAGAGCAAAAGAAGGAUUUGAAUGCUAUGACACAAAGCUUUGCCAUAAUUCCUCCUUGGAUGAUAUUCUUCCAAUAUUUGCUUAUGGCCGCAAUGUGGGGAAGUCUGUCACUGGAGGUUAUGUAUACAGAGGAUGUGAAUCACCCAACCUGAAUGGCCUCUAUAUCUUCGGUGAUUUCAUGAAUGGUCGACUUAUGGCUUUACGGGAAGAUGAGAAGACAAAUAGGUGGAAGAAUCAAGAUAUCUGCAUUGGUAGCACAAAAGCUUGUGCUUUCCCUGGGAUGAUCAGAUCUUAUAAUAAAUUCAUCAUCUCAUUUGCUGAGGAUGAAGCAGGUGAGCUGUAUUUUAUGUCCACUUCUUAUCCCAGUGCCUAUGCGCCACAUGGAUCUCUUUACAAAUUUGUUGAUCCUGCAAGGUUUAGCUACAAUUCCUCUUAACAAAGAGAAGUGAAACCUGGCAGUUCAUGCAGCGUUCAAACAGUUGGAGUGUGAACCAGAGUUUUCCAAGCAAAAUGUUUUUCCACAUUAUGCGAGCUCCACCAGGGAAAUGUAAAUACAAGCCCGUAACAGUGAAAAUAAAGAGCAAACGGAUAGCAUUUGUUCCACGUGCAA
RNA transcript from Meleagris gallopavo (turkey), 5729 nucleotides. It is a transcript of the gene named HHIP like 2, with no coding region annotated. The record is from RefSeq and is a predicted model, not a curated record. Lineage: Eukaryota; Metazoa; Chordata; Aves; Galliformes; Phasianidae.